GGUGUGUUCUUCGUGUGUUAUUUGUUUACAAAACAAUGCAGGUCAGAGACCUAAGAUUAAGCAGCUAAAUCAUCCUCCCUGUUCAUGAGGUCCAUUUGUAAAUUUACAAAUGGAUUUCAUUGAAUUACCAAAGGUAAUGCAGUAUCGGUAUGUGCUAGUAAUAUUAGAUACAUUCUCAGGUUGGAUUGAGGCUUAUCCUUGUUGCCAUGCCGAUAUGUCUACAAUGUUUAAGAAAUUGUUACAAGAAUUUAUACCCUGGUAUGGAUUGCCUCGCCACAUUUACUCAGAUCAGGGAACACAUUUCACAGGAAAAGUAGUGCAACAGAUAGCAAAAAUUUAGCAAAUCCCUUAUCAUUUACAUUGCUCUCAUCAUCCUCAGUCAGAAAGAGGCAGUAGAAAGGGCCAAUGGAACAUUGAAAAAUAAAAUUGCAAAAAUUGUAGCAGAGACAAAGUUAAAGUGGCCUGAUGCACUUCCUCUUGCCUUAAUGUCUAUGAGAUUCUCUCCAGCUCGAAAGCAGGGUUAUCCCCUCAUGAAAUUCUAAUGGGAAGACCAAUGUUCACAGGAGGGGUACCUAUAAAAUGUUAUUCUCAUGAGAUAAAUGAUGAUUUAGUAAUGACAUAUUGCAUGUAGCUAACAAAACGAUUAGUCUCUCUAUAUGCAG
This is a non-coding RNA of Pelobates cultripes (western spadefoot toad), 662 nucleotides long. NCBI's taxonomy places the organism in Eukaryota, Metazoa, Chordata, Amphibia, Anura, Pelobatidae. The record is from the annotation of a GenBank genome assembly.